RNAcentral lists this ribosomal RNA (1385 nucleotides) under Staphylococcus aureus. RNAcentral's name for it is "bacterial SSU rRNA". It matches the Rfam family "Bacterial small subunit ribosomal RNA", at positions 8 to 1374 of the family's 1533-position model. The record is from RNAcentral. RNAcentral also lists the same sequence under 1 other name. Lineage: Bacteria; Bacillati; Bacillota; Bacilli; Caryophanales; Staphylococcaceae.
AGAGUUUGAUCCUGGCUCAGGAUGAACGCUGGCGGCGUGCCUAAUACAUGCAAGUCGAGCGAACGGACGAGAAGCUUGCUUCUCUGAUGUUAGCGGCGGACGGGUGAGUAACACGUGGAUAACCUACCUAUAAGACUGGGAUAACUUCGGGAAACCGGAGCUAAUACCGGAUAAUAUUUUGAACCGCAUGGUUCAAAAGUGAAAGACGGUCUUGCUGUCACUUAUAGAUGGAUCCGCGCUGCAUUAGCUAGUUGGUAAGGUAACGGCUUACCAAGGCAACGAUGCAUAGCCGACCUGAGAGGGUGAUCGGCCACACUGGAACUGAGACACGGUCCAGACUCCUACGGGAGGCAGCAGUAGGGAAUCUUCCGCAAUGGGCGAAAGCCUGACGGAGCAACGCCGCGUGAGUGAUGAAGGUCUUCGGAUCGUAAAACUCUGUUAUUAGGGAAGAACAUAUGUGUAAGUAACUGUGCACAUCUUGACGGUACCUAAUCAGAAAGCCACGGCUAACUACGUGCCAGCAGCCGCGGUAAUACGUAGGUGGCAAGCGUUAUCCGGAAUUAUUGGGCGUAAAGCGCGCGUAGGCGGUUUUUUAAGUCUGAUGUGAAAGCCCACGGCUCAACCGUGGAGGGUCAUUGGAAACUGGAAAACUUGAGUGCAGAAGAGGAAAGUGGAAUUCCAUGUGUAGCGGUGAAAUGCGCAGAGAUAUGGAGGAACACCAGUGGCGAAGGCGACUUUCUGGUCUGUAACUGACGCUGAUGUGCGAAAGCGUGGGGAUCAAACAGGAUUAGAUACCCUGGUAGUCCACGCCGUAAACGAUGAGUGCUAAGUGUUAGGGGGUUUCCGCCCCUUAGUGCUGCAGCUAACGCAUUAAGCACUCCGCCUGGGGAGUACGACCGCAAGGUUGAAACUCAAAGGAAUUGACGGGGACCCGCACAAGCGGUGGAGCAUGUGGUUUAAUUCGAAGCAACGCGAAGAACCUUACCAAAUCUUGACAUCCUUUGACAACUCUAGAGAUAGAGCCUUCCCCUUCGGGGGACAAAGUGACAGGUGGUGCAUGGUUGUCGUCAGCUCGUGUCGUGAGAUGUUGGGUUAAGUCCCGCAACGAGCGCAACCCUUAAGCUUAGUUGCCAUCAUUAAGUUGGGCACUCUAAGUUGACUGCCGGUGACAAACCGGAGGAAGGUGGGGAUGACGUCAAAUCAUCAUGCCCCUUAUGAUUUGGGCUACACACGUGCUACAAUGGACAAUACAAAGGGCAGCGAAACCGCGAGGUCAAGCAAAUCCCAUAAAGUUGUUCUCAGUUCGGAUUGUAGUCUGCAACUCGACUACAUGAAGCUGGAAUCGCUAGUAAUCGUAGAUCAGCAUGCUACGGUGAAUACGUUCC